Molecule: long non-coding RNA, 1637 nt
Organism: Oryzias melastigma (Indian medaka)
Lineage: Eukaryota; Metazoa; Chordata; Actinopteri; Beloniformes; Adrianichthyidae
Exons: 2
Source: RefSeq, a predicted model, not a curated record
CUAACGGCCGGACGUGUCCCGUCUGUGACCCGACCACCUCUCAGUGCAGCUCUACAGUUACAUGUUCAGGAGACCAGACCAGCUGCUUCCAAGCAACCAUGACAAACGGCUCAGCAACAUAUCCAGUUGUGGGCUGCGUGUCUCCAAACACAUGUGCAGCUGCAGCGAGCCUGAAUAACCUGCCUUUCAUGGAGAGCGUUGGUAACAUCGUCACUGGACCGACCUGCAGCGCCGCAGCCAUCAUCACAACUGUUCAACCAACAAUCUCUACCACACAAGAAGCAACAACUGCUGCCGCAUCAACCAUUGAAACCACAACUGUAGCUGCAGCAACGUCCACUACCUCUGCACCAACCACUGGGACCACAACUGCUGCCGCAUCAACCUCUGAAAUCUCAACUGUUGCUGCAUCAACAUCCACCAGCCCUACACCAGCUCCCACAUCCACCUCUAUUAACUCUACACCCUCUACAGCUGCCUCAUCAACCUCCACCACUCCUGCACCAAAGGCAGAUGGAGCACCAACUGUACCUGUAGCAACAGGUGGAGCAGCUACAACUGUUUCACCAUCUGUAACCAAUGGUGCAUCUGGUUCCAUGACUGUUUCUUCAUCUGUUACUAACGGUGCAGCAGGAGCUGGAACAACCCAGUCAACCACAGUGUCAACAACCAGCAGUUCUGGAGUUUCUGUCCAAAUGUGUCUUUUCAACCUCCUGCUUGGUCUUCUUGUCUUCAUGUUGUAAUUGAUGAUGGAUGUUUUAGGGAACUUACUUUCGUUGGGAAAGUUUCAUUUCUUUCUCACGUUUAAGGAAAACAUCAUCAGAUGGUUAACAAUAUAAAUGUAGGAAAUGUCAGAAACAUCAGGGUAUUAACCUAAACUUUAAAAGUUAUUUUUUAUUAUAAUUGCAAUUAUUUAACAUUCAUAUUUAUUGCUUGUAUUUUGAAAAAAGUGCUAUUUACUAUAUAUUGGUUAAAACCCAACAAUUUAUUUAUAAAUCCUUUAAUGCAAUAUUUAUUUGUCUGUGUUUGCCCUCCUUAUUUAUUGUCUUUUUAAACCAGUUCUAAUAAAGUUUUAAGCCUAAAAAUAAAAUGCGUUUUCUCUUUUUGUAAGGCCUGAGUUGAGGCCCCUGUGAUUCUAAAAAAAAUCAAAAUAAAAAAUAAAAAAACAUGCAUAGCUGUCACCAGAAACUGCAUAUCUCAUUCAGCCAAAUGACCAGAACAGGAGCCAGCCUGCUGCUGUGCUGUCCAUGGUACCAAAUAAACAUUUUUCAGUGUCCCAGUCCUGCAGUAGAUAUGUUUACCUCUCAAAGGUUCAGAUCUACUCUGUUCAUCAAACCUCUCAACCUGUACCACCUAUGAAUUACCUAUGAAUCUCAGAAUUGGAAUUCCCGAUUUCUAGACCCAUCAACAUUAGGUGCAGUGCUGAGUUCAAACAGCAUGACCACCAAACAUUUGAAGUGACAUACUCCUCUCCGUGCCUGACCCUCACCUGGAUCCUGACUACUCUGGUUUUCCUCUGAUGCUCUCAUGCUGGUGCCUGACCCCUGCCUGCCUGACCCUGAUUUAGUGUUGUGGACUUUUAGCUGUGCAUCACGCCUGUUGCCCUGUCUGUGCUGAAUAAACCUGCUGCACUUGGA